This 252-nucleotide small RNA is filed under the name Pseudomonas cichorii. RNAcentral's name for it is "Pseudomonas sRNA P24". It matches the Rfam family "Pseudomonas sRNA P24". From Rfam's summary of the family: P24 is conserved across several Pseudomonas species and in Azotobacter vinelandii. It appears to be consistently located between a hypothetical protein gene and a transcriptional regulator gene (AsnC family) in the genomes of all these species. Lineage: Bacteria; Pseudomonadati; Pseudomonadota; Gammaproteobacteria; Pseudomonadales; Pseudomonadaceae. The record is from RNAcentral.
UUGCGCAAGUAAUGUUUUUAUGAGCAAUCUUCGCAAUCUUUUGCUGGUCCGGCAGGUCUAUUCUUUUCAACAGAAUCACUGCCCGGACACAGCGUCCAGCGCGACUCGCCCAAUCAGGCAGUCGCGGCCUCCCACCCGACAGGGUCGGCCAGGCCCCCGGGCUACAUACAGUCCAGAAGACGUAUGAGGUGAGCCGACGUCAAAAGUGUCGCGCCAGGACGAAGUAUCUCAAGGGGGCCAAUCAGGCCCCCU